AUGACUGAUAAUAAGCUUGCGUACAUCCAGAAUGAGGCUAUAUCCAGAGAGUGCACAAGGACUCUCACGGUUACAAAGGAUACGAAGCAGCCAAUUUAUGCCUACUACCAACUUGACAACUUUUAUCAGAAUCAUAGGAGAUCACUGUUCUUUUCAUUCCUCCAAUUGAAACCAUGGCUGCCAGUAUUGAGGUCACUUGCUAUUCCUGCUUUUACUAAUGUAAAUUUUACUUAUUUGUUUUGGUGGCUUAGGUGA
RNAcentral lists this ribosomal RNA (255 nucleotides) under Triticum aestivum (bread wheat). RNAcentral's name for it is "partial small subunit ribosomal RNA". Lineage: Eukaryota; Viridiplantae; Streptophyta; Magnoliopsida; Poales; Poaceae. The record is from RNAcentral.